GGAAGGAUUGAGUGUAGCUCCAACUCUGAUUGAGUGUGCUUGCACUAAUAUUUAGUUUGAUGUGAUUUAAUUGUUGCAAUUUUUAUAUGGCUAUGAUGAUUAUGAUGAUGUUAAUGAAAGUAGGAAACAAAAUAUCCUAAUUAAAUCUUGUUUUACAGUUUAGUGUAGAAACUAGGGCAUUUAAUUUGAUGUAUCGGUUACAUAUUGAGGAAAGGGAAUGUGGCAAUUUAGCUCAACCUUCUUAUGUCUUAUGCCUUCACUAUUUAUACUGAGCUCACUGUAAUCAUGGCUGAUCUUAGCACUAUUAACUUUUUAGUGUAAUUCUGAAGGCUUUCUCUUAGUUCGAUUGGGGUUUAAAAUCUGCCAAAAAGUGCAAAAUUUAAUCCAAACUACAUGAUACAUGAGAACCAAGUUAUGAACUAUCAAGUAUACAUUGCAUUAGAAGCUUGUGUUGUUCACAAACAUUUCUCAGUUGGCAGUAGAAUGCAUGUUCGGCAGAAUGCCCUUGUUUGCAUUGCUUUUGCUCGUAGAUUAAAGAUUAAGAUGAAUGUUGGAUGCAAACUGAUUGGCAUUGUUGUAGUUUUGUUUUCCCUGUCUUGUAUGAUUAGGACUGGUGUCUAUUGAUCAUUUGGUCACAUGUUUUUCUUUUUUGAAUAAAUGUAUUUGAGGAUUAUUCAUGACUUAUAAUUGGACUUUGUUGGAUUCAUUUGUGGAGAUGGAAAUUUGGAGUAUCAAUCACACACACACCAACAUUUGUACGUGUGUGUAAAAGUUAGGUGCAUUGAAUCUAGUUGAAUCUGAGUAAUUUGUUACAGCAUUGAAUCUAGUUGAAUCUCUGAGUAAUUUGUUACAGGUUCACCUAUGUAACUCUGUUCCUAAACUAAGAUGAUGGGACAAUUAUUUUUCUAGAUAAAACUGUGUCGCCUCUUCUGUGUCGCCUCUUCUGAUUUAGUUAUUGCACAGGUCAAAUAAAAACUAACAAGAUGCAAAGGUAAUAGUAGUUGUUUCAGAUGUUUGCUUCUUUCUCAUCACUUUGUUCAACGGCAAAAUAUAUACUCAUCCACUGCUCUAAAUGCUUAUAAACACCCAAUGCCUGUUCAUCUGUCUGACUCUCACCCCAUUUAUAUCCUUUUUAGCUCUCUUCUUUGACUAUUAUUAACACAAAUCUUUGACUGUUAUUCUAGAACUCUAAACCAUGUUGUCCCUAGCUUUAUAAGGAAAUGAAUUGGUUUAGAAAAAGAAUUUUCUAUAUUUGGCUUUAUAAGACAAUUUCGUAGUAUUCACAAAGAUAUCACACAGAAAUAUGAGUUUAACAGACCACCAUUCCCCUGUAAACUAAAUAAACUUGAUAGCAGAGUUGGUCUUUUCUAGUUUCUGUACUACUGAUUAUUUGUUGCUGCUAAUCAUUAACUUUAAUUAUGUUGGCAGAUAUUCUUGCUUUUAUUAUUUGAACUCUUUGAUGCAGUGAAGAAUGAAGAAGGAGAAAAAGCCAGCUGCUUGAUCAAAUAGAGAUGGUCCAUUCUAUGACUUCUUUUGGUUUUGGUGUUUUAGAUUAGACUCUAGAUUUCAAGGGGUUUUCUGGAAAGCUGCUAGAAUAGGUAAAAUAUAAUAUUCUAUGUAACUUGUAAUGCUAAUUGUGUUAUAACACUUUGUCUAUUACCUAUUUGUCAUAACUUGAGAUUUUGGUGAUGCUUGUCAAAUGUACCUGAUUAUUGGUUUUAUUGGUCAAAUUUGUCAAAUGCUAAGUGCUCAUUCUUCUUUCUUCUUUCUUACCUUUUCUAAUUUGAGUUGAAAGAAUAAAAAAGAAGUCAGGAUUAUUUGUUGAUUUUUGUUCAAGAAUUACAACAUAUGCUAGGUACGUUCAAGACUUUAAUCCUUAGACUGCUGUUGUUUGCAAAACUGUCUUAUUUAUAAUGUUCUAGUUUGAUACAAAGGAAUU
Molecule: non-coding RNA, 1939 nt
Organism: Salvia hispanica
Lineage: Eukaryota; Viridiplantae; Streptophyta; Magnoliopsida; Lamiales; Lamiaceae
Source: RefSeq, a predicted model, not a curated record